GGUAGUUCUCAGGUGAUGCACCCUGGAAUCAGGCUCCCUCCUCUCUGGUUCCAGGUGUGUCACCCGAGAACCACA
Myotis lucifugus (little brown bat) is the source of this 75-nucleotide non-coding RNA. Lineage: Eukaryota; Metazoa; Chordata; Mammalia; Chiroptera; Vespertilionidae. The record is from Rfam.